Bombina bombina (fire-bellied toad) is the source of this 538-nucleotide long non-coding RNA. RefSeq lists it as uncharacterized. The record is from RefSeq and is a predicted model, not a curated record. The transcript is spliced from 2 exons. Lineage: Eukaryota; Metazoa; Chordata; Amphibia; Anura; Bombinatoridae.
AAAUCCUAAAAUGUCAUCCGUGACUUCCUGUGACCUCAUUAUGGUAGCCGGAGAGGGCCAAUUUUAAAAAAGAAAACAAAAAAAGAGUAAAAAAAGCGCUUGACAUCUGAAUGACCCGCUGGUGUAACAACCAUCACUCGUUUGUUUGGGUUUUCAAACACAAGAACACCAAGAUCGCGUGCAUAGUUUCGCAAAAGUUCAAAAUCCACCUGGGAUAAAAACUGGUUGUACAGGACACCUAAGAGGAAAUGGAGAAAUGUAUAUGAGAGACAAUGAUUAAAACAUUAUCAAAAUGUAUAAAUAAGGGGGUGGCUGAACAUUAAUGUCAGUUAUAUUUCUACAUAUGUAUAUUAACAACGUAGUACCCGUAUGCAAAAUAAAUGUCCUAAAAUGUCAAACUAAUUUUGCUACUAUAAUUUGCAUUGUACUGCAGUCCGGGGACACACCCAUUAAAAAGCAACUUGACUAUGUUUUGCUACAAUAAUUUGCAUUGUACUGCAGUCCAAGGACACACCCAUUAAAAAGCAACUUGACUAUG